CGGUAAAAAAUGGUGGAAGAUACUAGAAUAAAGAAAGAAAAACAGAAAAACGAGUGGUAUGCUUUACAGUAUUCAACCAAUAAAGAUGGAAGGGAGUUAGGUGUCACCGCCCAAGCCAACUGAGCCUAACAACAAAAUGAACACCCCCCCACACUCAGUUCACUCAAUUAUGAAGAAUGGCUCACAGCUGUGCUUCUGUUUGAUCCAUGCAGCAGAGCAGGACUCCAGCUCAACCCGGACGCUGGACAGACACACCACUGGUAAACAUAUCAGAUUCGCUCAGAUCUGCUCGGAUGUGGAUUUUCGGAUCCGCCCCGCCCACAGAAUCAGCAACGAGAACCCAGGAAAAAGGCGGAGUUUCUCCUGGAACGAGGACAAACGUCUGUGGAGACACGAUUGCUGCUCUGAAUCUGCAGGAGUUUAUUUUAAAUGUCUAGCUUAUAUAUGUGGAGAAUGGAGGAGUGGCUACUGUGCUCCAUGUUGUGUUUUUCCCCACAUCGAUUGCCUUUUUUUGGACAUUGAAAUGUUCUUCAAAACAUGUGAAAUAUUCAAUAAAUCCUCAGGAACAGGAUUCUGUAUUCUA
Molecule: long non-coding RNA, 583 nt
Organism: Oryzias latipes (Japanese medaka)
Lineage: Eukaryota; Metazoa; Chordata; Actinopteri; Beloniformes; Adrianichthyidae
Source: RefSeq, a predicted model, not a curated record